GACGAACGCUGGCGGCGCGCCUAACACAUGCAAGUCGAACGAGCGAGAGAGAGCUUGCUUUCUCGAGCGAGUGGCGAACGGGUGAGUAACGCGUGAGGAACCUGCCUCAAAGAGGGGGACAACAGUUGGAAACGACUGCUAAUACCGCAUAAGCCCACGGCUCGGCAUCGAGCAGGGGGAAAAGGAGCAAUCCGCUUUGAGAUGGCCUCGCGUCCGAUUAGCUAGUUGGUGGGGUAACGGGCCACCAAGGCGACGAUCGGUAGCCGGACUGAGAGGUUGAACGGCCACAUUGGGACUGAGACACGGCCCAGACUCCUACGGGAGGCAGCAGUGGGGAAUAUUGCACAAUGGGGGAAACCCUGAUGCAGCGACGCCGCGUGGAGGAAGAAGGUCUUCGGAUUGUAAACUCCUGUUGUUGGGGAAGAUAAUGACGGUACCCAACAAGGAAGUGACGGCUAACUACGUG
This 466-nucleotide ribosomal RNA is filed under the name uncultured bacterium. RNAcentral describes it as "partial 16S ribosomal RNA". It matches the Rfam family "Bacterial small subunit ribosomal RNA", at positions 28 to 507 of the family's 1533-position model. The record is from RNAcentral.